Long non-coding RNA from Choloepus didactylus (southern two-toed sloth), 960 nucleotides. RefSeq lists it as uncharacterized. NCBI's taxonomy places the organism in Eukaryota, Metazoa, Chordata, Mammalia, Pilosa, Megalonychidae. The record is from RefSeq and is a predicted model, not a curated record. The transcript is spliced from 3 exons.
UCACUUGGAGGAGGAAGUUAAAUACAGGCAGGGAGAAAGCUAAUAUGAACCUUGUAGUGUUGGUUUGGAAUUUGAACUGUUUGUUGCAAACUGUUGCAAACUUGUGGUUCUCAGUAUUUGUAGAGCGGUGUAAGAACAAAUAAGUGUAAAUGUGUGUGUGUGUGUGUGUGUGUGUGUGUGUUUACUUUUAUUUCUUAGCUCUGUCUACUGACAGAGCCUGGAAGCAGUGACACACUAUUAGCUAUUAGUACAGCUAGUACCCAGAUCUUGUCUUCUACAUACCAUUCUCCACUAAAAGGAAUAAAUUGAAGAAAUGAUUGUUUCCAGGACUGGGAAAGGGAGAGUACCAGAUGAGAUUGGAACAUCUUUGCAAUUAAGAAUCUGACUUGAUUUGUUUUGAUGUUUGACUGUUGAUAGCUUUUAAGCUUCAUUCCUCAUUCACUUUCUGCCCCACAUCUGGGUAAGCUGACAAGAAAGCUUGGGUGCUUCUUCUUUUGUUGCUGGCAGAAGUUCAAACAAUAUAUAGGAACCUUCAUCCAAGCCUCAACCCCUAACAAGAACCCAAGCCAAUUUCCUUUCCCUGGUGUCUCAAGCCAUUUUUGGACAAGCUUAGGAAGCCUCCCCUGCUCUUCCCAGAAAGUCUCUUUAUGGUGGCUAAAAUAAUCUUAGUGUGCCAGAAAGCAAGGAAGUCCUUGAUGAUUGUGACUACAUAUCAAAGGAAGCCACUGGCCAAAUCUGGGACGAUUUGAGUAUCAAAAUUCUACACUCACUUCCUUGGUGAUCUCAUCUACUCUCAAGGACUGGAUGUCCCCCCAAAAAAUAUGUCUGCAUCCAACCCCAGAAUCUAUGAAUAUAACUUUAUUAGGAAGGAAGAGAGAGAGGGAGUGUACUGGUUUAUAUAUAUUAUGUCCCCAAGAAAAAACCAUGUUCUUUGAUGCAGUCUUGUGGGGGCAGACAUUA